AAAGUCGUAACAAGGUUUCCGUAGGUGAACCUGCGGAAGGAUCAUUACCAAGCCGUGAAGGUCGCCUCUUGAAAAAGGGAAUGACCUCUCACCUGGCCACCCUUGAUUACUUUUAACCUGUUGCUUUGGUGGGCCCGCCGCGAGGCCGCCGGGGAAACCUCGGGUUCCCGGGCCCGUGCCCACCAAGGUCUUACCGAACUCUGCAAGAUUUUUGCUGUCUGAGCGUGAAAGCGCAACCUUUUUUAAAACUUUCAACAACGGAUCUCUUGGUUCUG
This 275-nucleotide unclassified non-coding RNA is filed under the name Ascomycota sp. RNAcentral describes it as "partial contains small subunit ribosomal RNA, internal transcribed spacer 1, and 5.8S ribosomal RNA". The stretch from base 1 to 47 matches the Rfam family "Eukaryotic small subunit ribosomal RNA", at positions 1785 to 1831 of the family's 1831-position model. Lineage: Eukaryota; Fungi; Ascomycota. The record is from RNAcentral.